GGGGAUGUAAUGGCUUCGACAGGCAUUGGCAGCUCAACAGUGCAGUAGUGUGGCAGACUAUAAUUGCUACUAGGCUUUCGAAUAAACGGAAACUCUAAAAAAGAAGAACUAAGUGUUUCACCACUUAUGUUCAAUAAUCAAUCAAACCUAUUAUUCGCUUAAUUAAAAGCAUAUAGUCGUCUUCAAUAGCCCGAUAUUGAAUGUACGUUGUAAGGGAUAGAUAAUUAAAAAUUGACACUAUUUUAAUUAUUGAAAUAACAGUGUCCUCAUAAACUUAUUUUUUGUUUAUUAGUAACUUAUGAAAAUUAAAAUAAACUAAACUGUAGUACUUAAGAGUGUGUUGGUGUGUGGACCGGGGUUCAAUUCCCCGCAUCUCCACCA
This 381-nucleotide transfer-messenger RNA is filed under the name Mycoplasma phocoenae. Its description in RNAcentral is "Mycoplasma sp. Phocoena C-264-GEN transfer-messenger RNA". It matches the Rfam family "transfer-messenger RNA". From Rfam's summary of the family: Bacterial tmRNA, also known as 10Sa RNA or SsrA, is named for its dual tRNA and mRNA-like properties. Its role is to liberate the mRNA from a stalled ribosome. To accomplish this part of the tmRNA is used as a reading frame that ends in a translation stop signal. The record is from Rfam by way of RNAcentral. RNAcentral also lists the same sequence under 1 other name. Lineage: Bacteria; Bacillati; Mycoplasmatota; Mollicutes; Mycoplasmatales; Mycoplasmataceae.